Molecule: ribosomal RNA, 434 nt
Filed under: uncultured Ruminococcus sp.
Lineage: Bacteria; Bacillati; Bacillota; Clostridia; Eubacteriales; Oscillospiraceae
Description: partial 16S ribosomal RNA
Rfam family: Bacterial small subunit ribosomal RNA
Source: RNAcentral
ACGGGAGGCAGCAGUGGGGAAUAUUGCACAAUGGGCGAAAGCCUGAUGCAGCGAUGCCGCGUGGAGGAAGAAGGUUUUCGGAUUGUAAACUCCUUAUCUUGGGGACGAUAAUGACGGUACCCAAGGAGAAAGCUCCGGCUAACUACGUGCCAGCAGCCGCGGUAAUACGUAGGGAGCGAGCGUUGUCCGGAAUUACUGGGUGUAAAGGGUGCGUAGGCGGGAUUGCAAGUCAGAUGUGAAAUGUACGGGCUCAACCCGUGCCCUGCAUUUGAAACUGUAGUUCUUGAGUGAGGUAGAGGUAAGCGGAAUUCCUAGUGUAGCGGUGAAAUGCGUAGAUAUUAGGAGGAACAUCGGUGGCGAAGGCGGCUUACUGGGCCUUUACUGACGCUGAGGCACGAAAGCGUGGGGAGCAAACAGGAUUAGAUACCCUGGUA